UCUACGGGGAGCAGCAGUGAGGAAUAUUGGUCAAUGGGCGCGAGCCUGAACCAGCCAAGUAGCGUGAAGGAUGACUGCCCUACGGGUUGUAAACUUCUUUUAUAAAGGAAUAAAGUGAGGCACGUGUGCCUUUUUGUAUGUACUUUAUGAAUAAGGAUCGGCUAACUCCGUGCCAGCAGCCGCGGUAAUACGGAGGAUCCGAGCGUUAUCCGGAUUUAGUGGGUUUAAAGGGAGCGUAGAUGGGUUGUUAAGUCAGUUGGGAAAGUUUGCGGCUCAACCGUAAAAUUGCAAUUGAUACUGGCAGCCUUGAGUACAGUUGAGGUAGGCGGAAUUCGUGGUGUAGCGGUGAAAUGCUUAGAUAUCACGAAGAACUCCGAUUGCGAAGGCAGCUUACUAAACUGCCACUGACAUUGAUGCUCGAAAGUGUGGGUAUCAAACAGGAUUAGAUACCCUUGUAGUC
This 460-nucleotide ribosomal RNA is filed under the name uncultured bacterium. RNAcentral describes it as "partial 16S ribosomal RNA". It matches the Rfam family "Bacterial small subunit ribosomal RNA", at positions 338 to 795 of the family's 1533-position model. The record is from RNAcentral.